Molecule: ribosomal RNA, 342 nt
Filed under: uncultured bacterium
Lineage: Bacteria
Description: bacterial SSU rRNA
Rfam family: Bacterial small subunit ribosomal RNA
Source: RNAcentral
UACCCGAUAGUAUUAUAAUAAGGCAUCUUGUUGUAAUUAAAGCUAUGGCGGUAAGGAUGAGCGUGCGCAAGAUUAGCUAGUUGGUGAGGUAACGGCUCACCAAGGCGACGAUCUUUAGCUGAUGUGAGAGCAUGAUCAGCCACACGGGGCACUGAGACACGGGCCCGACUCCUACGGGAGGCAGCAGUGAGGAAUAUUGGUCAAUGGACGGAAGUCUGAACCAGCCAUGCCGCGUGAAGGAUGAAGGCGUUCUGCGUUGUAAACUUCUUUUAUUUAGGAAGAAACCACCGAUUUCUAUUGGUGUUGACGGUAUUAAAUGAAUAAGCACCGGCUAACUCCGUG